Molecule: long non-coding RNA, 162 nt
Organism: Drosophila takahashii
Lineage: Eukaryota; Metazoa; Arthropoda; Insecta; Diptera; Drosophilidae
Source: RefSeq, a predicted model, not a curated record
AAACAAUCCAUUUCGGUAAAAUUGUUAAGCAAGGAGGAAAUUUGAAUCACUGAACGACAAUAUGAAUAUUUCAAUGGUCUUAUUAAUUUGCCUAGCUGUUUACAUGCCACCCAGGGGCGUGUGGUAUGAAGAAUGAAUAAAAUAAAUACUUAACAAAACAUA